CCUACGGGGUGCUGCAGUGAGGAAUAUUGGUCAAUGGACGAGAGUCUGAACCAGCCAAGUAGCGUGAAGGAUGACUGCCCUAUGGGUUGUAAACUUCUUUUAUAAGGGAAUAAAAUGUUCCACGUGUGGGAUUUUGUAUGUACCAUAUGAAUAAGGAUCGGCUAACUCCGUGCCAGCAGCCGCGGUAAUACGGAGGAUCCGAGCGUUAUCCGGAUUUAUUGGGUUUAAAGGGAGCGUAGGUGGAUUGUUAAGUCAGUUGUGAAAGUUUGCGGCUCAACCGUAAAAUUGCAGUUGAAACUGGCAGUCUUGAGUACAGUAGAGGUGGGCGGAAUUCGUGGUGUAGCGGUGAAAUGCUUAGAUAUCACGAAGAACUCCGAUUGCGAAGGCAGUUCACUGGACUGCAACUGACACUGAGGCUCGAAAGUGUGGGUAUCAAACAGGAUUAGAUACCCUUGUAGUC
This 460-nucleotide ribosomal RNA is filed under the name uncultured bacterium. RNAcentral describes it as "partial 16S ribosomal RNA". It matches the Rfam family "Bacterial small subunit ribosomal RNA", at positions 338 to 795 of the family's 1533-position model. The record is from RNAcentral.